UAACACGUGGGCAACCUGCCUAUAAGACUGGGAUAACUUCGGGAAACCGGAGCUAAUACCGGAUAACAUAUGAGACCACAUGGUCUCAUAUUAAAGAUGGCUUUUAGCUAUCACUUAUAGAUGGGCCCGCGGCGCAUUAGCUAGUUGGUGAGGUAAUGGCUCACCAAGGCGACGAUGCGUAGCCGACCUGAGAGGGUGAUCGGCCACACUGGGACUGAGACACGGCCCAGACUCCUACGGGAGGCAGCAGUAGGGAAUCUUCCGCAAUGGACGAAAGUCUGACGGAGCAACGCCGCGUGAGCGAAGAAGGUCUUCGGAUCGUAAAGCUCUGUUGUUAGGGAAGAACAAGUACCGUUCAAAUAGGGCGGUACCUUGACGGUACCUAACCAGAAAGCCACGGCUAACUACGUGCCAGCAGCCGCGGUAAUACGUAGGUGGCAAGCGUUAUCCGGAAUUAUUGGGCGUAAAGCGCGCGCAGGCGGUCCUUUAAGUCUGAUGUGAAAGCCCACGGCUCAACCGUGGAGGGUCAUUGGAACUGGGGACUUGAGUGCAGAAGAGGAGAGCGGAAUUCCACGUGUAGCGGUGAAAUGCGUAGAGAUGUGAGACACAGUGGCGAAGCGCUCUCUGGUCUGUAACUGACGCUGAGGCGCGAAAGCGUGGGGAGCGAACAGGAUUAGAUACCUGUAGUCCACGCCGUAAACGAUGAGUGCUAAGUGUU
RNAcentral lists this ribosomal RNA (718 nucleotides) under bacterium MS-AsV-10. RNAcentral describes it as "bacterial SSU rRNA". It matches the Rfam family "Bacterial small subunit ribosomal RNA", at positions 111 to 824 of the family's 1533-position model. The record is from RNAcentral.